AACAAUUUUUAAUUGCACAGCGAAUAAAAGGACGGCCAAGGGUGUAUGCUUGGAGUUGAUACGAAACAAACAAAAAUUGAAAAAUUGAAAUUGCGUAAAGAGAAACAACAGUCAGUCCUUGAACCAGUACACUAUUCAUCUUUGUCCGACUAUUCGAACUCUUGUUGUGGUAUCAAUUUGCUAGAAUCACCAAAUCGUUUUAUUCCUAGUACAUCGGGUAUCCAAGAUAAAAUUUUACCUGAAUCUGGGCCAACAAAAACAAAAAGAGCUAGAAAAGAAAUCAUAUCUCCACGAUUAUCAGCUGUUUUUGAUAAGUGUAAAAUAAGUAACAGGGAUUGUGUCCAUAUAUUAACUGCAGUUUUAGAUGCAAUAUCGGUAGAUCCAAAUUAAUAUAUCGAACAUCAAUAAAAUCUGCCAGGGAAAAAUUUCCACAGCAUAUUUUUAAAGAGAUGAAAUAUAGGUUUGAUAAUUUAAAUUUUAAAUCAUACGUACUUCAUUGGGUUUCUAAAUUAUUACCAGACAUAACUGGACAUUUGAAAAUUGAUCGACUUCCAGUAAUUGUUAUAACACCGAAUGUAGAACAGUUGUUAAGAGUUCCAAAACUUGAUUCGGAUACGAGAUAUGAAAUAAGUUCUGCUGUAUAUGACACUCUAGAGAAAUGGUCUUUAUUAGACAAAGUACAGGUUUUUGUAUUUGAUACAACUGCUAGUAACACAGGUCGAUUAAACGGUGCAUGUCAAAUAUUAGAGCAAAAACUGAUCGUGAUAUUUUAUACUUGGUAUGUAGGCAUCAUGUGUAUGAAAUAGUUCUGCAAGGUGUAUUUACUGAAGUAAAAUUAGCAACAAGUACAGGGCCAGAUAUUUCAUUAUUUAAAAAGUUCAGAAAAGAAUGGAACACUAUAGAUACAAAUUCAUAUUCAAUAUGGUCUACCGAUAAAAAUUUGAAUGAUAUUUUAAAAGACGUUGCUGACGAAACAAUACAAUUUUGUAUAAAUAAAAUUAAAGAAGAUUUGCCUAGAGAUGACUAUAAAGAAUUUCUUGAAUUAAUAAUAAUAUUUUUAGGAGGUAUGCCAUCAUGGAGGAUACGUUUUAUAGCUCCAGGUGCUUAUCAUCUUGCACUAUGGAUGGCAAAAGCGUUGUAUUGUUUAAAAAUAUUUUUAUUUCGAUAACAAUUCAAAAUUACGCAACGUGAAGAAAAGGCAUUAAAAAGAUUAUGUUGUUUUAUUAUUAAGUGCUAUGCAAAAUCAUGGUUUUUAACUCCAAACGAAAUUACAGCUCCAAUGAAUGAUAUAAUGUUUCUAAAAAAAUUAGAACUGUAUAAAAUAAACGAUAAAGAAGUAGCAGAAAAGCAAUAAUGAAAUUUAUAAAUCAUUUAUGGUAUUUGAGUGAAGAGUGUUCUGCUUUUUCAAUAUUUGAUGAAAGAUUAAGUAUUGACGCACGAUUGAAAAUGGCUGAAAAAUUUUGCAAGAACAACCUGAAAGAGAACCACAAAAAAAUUACAUUGUGAAGUUUGAAGAUGUACAACACUUUCUCGAUAAAGAUUUACCUUUGGAUUUGUUAGGUCCCAAUUCCAAAAAUGUAUUCAAAAGAUUCAAUAUUCCUGAAGAUUUUUUAAAAGUUCAACCAGAAAAGUGGCAUGAAUUAGAAGAGUACCAGAAAGGAAAAAGCAUAUUAAAUUCAAUAAAGGCAGUCAAUGAUAUGGCAGAACGAGGAGUCUAACUUAUGCAAGAAUAUAACGACAAGUUUAUAACAAAUGAAAAUCAAAAACAAUUUGUUUUACAGGUGGUUCAAGAUUACAGAAAACAAUAUCCUGAAUUUACUCGAUAUACUCUUAAGAAACCAUAUACCUACUUAACGGUAUCGUUCAUGGUCACAUACGACAUCAUCGCACACGUGCUUACAAUUUCACAGGAAAUCAUCGAUAUAUGGUUGACGCAAAUGCGUGGGAAGAGCGGAUGCACGUGCACUGAUCAGCAGAGACCUGCCGGUACCGCGGGGGUCUCUGGACGAUAUAUAAGAGGGUCCAGAUUAGACACAUUUUAGACGUGAUUUACCAGAGUUAGAGCGAGCACUUUCACGCCACCCAGUUCAAUAAUUUUAUUAUUUGGACUUAGAAUAUUUUUCAAAGUUUAAUUUAUUUAAUUAUUUGAACAUAGAAUAUUUUUCAAUAAA
This is a long non-coding RNA of Aphis gossypii (cotton aphid), 2171 nucleotides long. RefSeq lists it as uncharacterized. Lineage: Eukaryota; Metazoa; Arthropoda; Insecta; Hemiptera; Aphididae. The transcript has 4 exons. The record is from RefSeq and is a predicted model, not a curated record.